GCCGCGGUAGCUCAGUCGGUAGAGCGCCGGGCUGUUAACCCGGCGGUCGGAGGUUCGAGUCCUCCCCGCGGCGCCA
Molecule: transfer RNA, 76 nt
Filed under: Sulfodiicoccus acidiphilus
Lineage: Archaea; Thermoproteati; Thermoproteota; Thermoprotei; Sulfolobales; Sulfolobaceae
Description: tRNA-Asn
Rfam family: tRNA
About the family: Transfer RNA (tRNA) molecules are approximately 80 nucleotides in length.
Source: RNAcentral